The sequence is a ribosomal RNA, 933 nucleotides long. The stretch from base 459 to 933 matches the Rfam family "Eukaryotic large subunit ribosomal RNA", at positions 1 to 559 of the family's 3401-position model.
CCGAGUCUAACAACUCAUCAACCCUGUGAACAUACCUAAACGUUGCUUCGGCGGGAACAGACGGCCCUGUAACACGGGCCGCCCCCGCCAGAGGACCCCCUAACUCUGUAUCUGUUAUGUUUUUUCUGAGUAAACAAGCAAAUAAAUUAAAACUUUCAACAACGGAUCUCUUGGCUCUGGCAUCGAUGAAGAACGCAGCGAAAUGCGAUAAGUAAUGUGAAUUGCAGAAUUCAGUGAAUCAUCGAAUCUUUGAACGCACAUUGCGCCCGCCAGUAUUCUGGCGGGCAUGCCUGUUCGAGCGUCAUUACAACCCUCAGGCCCCCGGGCCUGGCGUUGGGGAUCGGCGGAGCCCCCCGUGGGCACACGCCGUCCCCUAAAUACAGUGGCGGUCCCGCCGCAGCUUCCAUUGCGUAGUAGCUAACACCUCGCAACUGGAGAGCGGCGCGGCCACGCCGUAAAACACCCAACUUCUGAAUGAGUGAAGCGGCAACAGCUCAAAUUUGAAAUCUGGCUCUCGGGCCCGAGUUGUAAUUUGUAGAGGAUGCUUUUGGUGAGGUGCCUUCCGAGUUCCCUGGAACGGGACGCCAUAGAGGGUGAGAGCCCCGUCUGGUUGGACACCGAUCCUCUGUAAAGCUCCUUCGACGAGUCGAGUAGUUUGGGAAUGCUGCUCUAAAUGGGAGGUAUAUGUCUUCUAAAGCUAAAUACCGGCCAGAGACCGAUAGCGCACAAGUAGAGUGAUCGAAAGAUGAAAAGAACUUUGAAAAGAGAGUUAAAAAGUACGUGAAAUUGUUGAAAGGGAAGCGCUUGUGACCAGACUUGGGCUUGGUUGAUCAUCCGGGGUUCUCCCCGGUGCACUCUUCCGGCUCAGGCCAGCAUCAGUUCGCCCUGGGGGACAAAGGCUUCGGGAAUGUGGCUCUCUCCGGGGAGUGUUAU